Long non-coding RNA from Vanessa atalanta (red admiral), 305 nucleotides. RefSeq lists it as uncharacterized. The record is from RefSeq and is a predicted model, not a curated record. NCBI's taxonomy places the organism in Eukaryota, Metazoa, Arthropoda, Insecta, Lepidoptera, Nymphalidae. The transcript is spliced from 2 exons.
UAAUUUACUUAGUGACGACAUUACGAUCGAGAUAGACUUCAAUUUAAAAAAACAAAAUGAAAGGAUUGGUGUAUAUUUUUGUCAUUAUAAUGACUUUUUUGACAAUAACUUCAACGGUCAUGUCACAAGAAAUUGAACCCGAGCCUCUUCUGCAGAGAUGGAAACGUGAAACCUGCGAAUACCGGGAAUGCGAUCAGUUCUGUCGCCGCCUCGGCUUACCUGGGGGAGCUUGUGUUAGGGAAAAAUGCGACUGCGAUCGUUUUUAGUCCAUUUACCUCAUUUUUAUAAGCAAUAAAAACUUUUUU